UUGUCCGGAUUUAUUGGGCGUAAAGAGCGUGUAGGCGGUUUGGUAGGUCCGCUGUGAAAACUCGAGGCUCAACCUCGAGACGCCGGUGGAAACCAUCAGACUAGAGUCCGGAAGAGGAGAGUGGAAUUCCUGGUGUAGCGGUGAAAUGCGUAGAUAUCAGGAGGAACACCGGUGGUGUAGACGGCUCUCUGGACCGUAACUGACGCUGAGACACGAAAGCGUGGGUAGCAAACGGG
Molecule: ribosomal RNA, 236 nt
Filed under: uncultured bacterium
Lineage: Bacteria
Description: partial 16S ribosomal RNA
Rfam family: Bacterial small subunit ribosomal RNA
Source: RNAcentral